This 499-nucleotide ribosomal RNA is filed under the name uncultured bacterium. RNAcentral describes it as "bacterial SSU rRNA". It matches the Rfam family "Bacterial small subunit ribosomal RNA", at positions 28 to 514 of the family's 1533-position model. The record is from RNAcentral.
GAUGAACGCUAGCUACAGGCUUAACACAUGCAAGUCGAGGGGAAACGAUAGAGAAAGCUUGCUUUUUCUAGGCGUCGACCGGCGCACGGGUGAGUAACGCGUAUCCAACCUGCCCAUCACUUGGGGAUAACCUUGCGAAAGUAAGACUAAUACCCAAUGACGUCUCUAGAAGACAUCUGAAAGAGAUUAAAGAUUUAUCGGUGAUGGAUGGGGAUGCGUCUGAUUAGCUUGUUGGCGGGGUAACGGCCCACCAAGGCGACGAUCAGUAGGGGUUCUGAGAGGAAGGCCCCCCACAUUGGAACUGAGACACGGUCCAAACUCCUACGGGGGGCAGCAGUGAGGAAUAUUGGUCAAUGGACGAGAGUCUGAACCAGCCAAGUAGCGUGCAGGAUGACGGCCCUAUGGGUUGUAAACUGCUUUUAUAAGGGAAUAAAGUGAGUCUCGUGAGACUUUUUGCAUGUACCUUAUGAAUAAGGACCGGCUAAUUCCGUGCCAGCAG